UGGUCUCAUGGCGUUGUCAACAGCGUGGACUGUCUGCAUUGCAAAGAAUCGCGGGAGAUUUUGUACUGUAAAAAGAAGCUGCAGUGUAUUUUGUGUUGGCAUUUUGGCAACCGUUCAAGUAGGCGUCAGAGAGGACACAUGUGUCGGAGCGUUUUUUUUUUUGUGUCGUCAAAAGCAAAGGUACCCAGUGCAGUUGCGCAGCGUGCAGCUGAGAGAUGCAGACCGCCUGGGAAUGGUCAGCUGUGGGACGUCCUACUACCAUGUGGCAAGAAGUGGUACAUCAUAAUGGAAGUAACCUGUAAUAUCAAUGAUCUGGAAACAUCUGUACAUGGUACAAGGUGAUGCCAUUGAGAUGCUUGAAUGGCUCUGUAUGCACAGGACCUGACACAUUAUCAGAGGGCGUCCAACUACGCCAACUGGAAUCCUGCAGUGACAAGUGUUCAGAUUGUGCAUCUUCUCCGUGUGAUGGGAGAACUGUGCUUUGGCUGUCAGACUCAGACAUGACUCACAGUGACUCAGUGAAAGUGACAGUCAUGACUCUCGUGAAACUCAGACGGGUGGUGCUCCUGGAGUGUGUCUAGGAAGCUCAAUGAAGUGAGGUAAGCAGCAGACCAGGUAAGUCCAGUAUUUUUUAGAGUAUCUACGAUGGAAGCAAAUGGAUGGUCCUCACAACUUAAGCAACUUGUAGGAUCAGAUUGGGUUUACCGUAAUUUCACGCGUAUAAGCCGCACCGCAGAUAAACCGCAGGACGCGUUUUUUGGGACGUUUUGAAAAUUUUCUGGCAGAUAAGCCGCACCCGCAGAUAAGCCGCGGCCAAUACGAGACGACUGAUUUGUGCGACAAAGGAGACCAUAGAGAAGGCCAUAAACCCUGUGGUCCAUACUCCGGGACCG
This is a long non-coding RNA of Ornithodoros turicata, 893 nucleotides long. RefSeq lists it as uncharacterized. The record is from RefSeq and is a predicted model, not a curated record. Lineage: Eukaryota; Metazoa; Arthropoda; Arachnida; Ixodida; Argasidae. The transcript has 3 exons.